Molecule: ribosomal RNA, 1051 nt
Filed under: Escherichia coli
Lineage: Bacteria; Pseudomonadati; Pseudomonadota; Gammaproteobacteria; Enterobacterales; Enterobacteriaceae
Description: partial 23S ribosomal RNA
Rfam family: Bacterial large subunit ribosomal RNA
Source: RNAcentral
GGGACACGUGGUAUCCUGUCUGAAUAUGGGGGGACCAUCCUCCAAGGCUAAAUACUCCUGACUGACCGAUAGUGAACCAGUACCGUGAGGGAAAGGCGAAAAGAACCCCGGCGAGGGGAGUGAAAAAGAACCUGAAACCGUGUACGUACAAGCAGUGGGAGCACGCUUAGGCGUGUGACUGCGUACCUUUUGUAUAAUGGGUCAGCGACUUAUAUUCUGUAGCAAGGUUAACCGAAUAGGGGAGCCGAAGGGAAACCGAGUCUUAACUGGGCGUUAAGUUGCAGGGUAUAGACCCGAAACCCGGUGAUCUAGCCAUGGGCAGGUUGAAGGUUGGGUAACACUAACUGGAGGACCGAACCGACUAAUGUUGAAAAAUUAGCGGAUGACUUGUGGCUGGGGGUGAAAGGCCAAUCAAACCGGGAGAUAGCUGGUUCUCCCCGAAAGCUAUUUAGGUAGCGCCUCGUGAAUUCAUCUCCGGGGGUAGAGCACUGUUUCGGCAAGGGGGUCAUCCCGACUUACCAACCCGAUGCAAACUGCGAAUACCGGAGAAUGUUAUCACGGGAGACACACGGCGGGUGCUAACGUCCGUCGUGAAGAGGGAAACAACCCAGACCGCCAGCUAAGGUCCCAAAGUCAUGGUUAAGUGGGAAACGAUGUGGGAAGGCCCAGACAGCCAGGAUGUUGGCUUAGAAGCAGCCAUCAUUUAAAGAAAGCGUAAUAGCUCACUGGUCGAGUCGGCCUGCGCGGAAGAUGUAACGGGGCUAAACCAUGCACCGAAGCUGCGGCAGCGACGCUGAUGCGUUGUUGGGUAGGGGAGCGUUCUGUAAGCCUGCGAAGGUGUGCUGUGAGGCAUGCUGGAGGUAUCAGAAGUGCGAAUGCUGACAUAAGUAACGAUAAAGCGGGUGAAAAGCCCGCUCGCCGGAAGACCAAGGGUUCCUCUCCAACGUUAAUCGGGGCAGGGUGAGUCGACCCCUAAGGCGAGGCCGAAAGGCGUAGUCGAUGGGAAACAGGUUAAUAUUCCUGUACUUGGUGUUACUGCGAAGGGGGGACG